CUCUUACAGGCCCUCCCUGGCCGUGGCUGGUAAAGGGCUGUGCUUGGACAUCCUUGUGUGCUUUGCCUCCUCCCCACAAGACGUUCUUCUGUGACUUUUUUCUUCUGGCUACACCCUGAAGUUUGCCGUUCCAACCAGGCGGGGAAUGGAAAGUUAAGAGUGACGUCCUCUGACACCUCCCUUCUUGUAGAAGAGUCUGAAGUUAGUUUAAGCUGAACCCAGGAUACCAAAGAUAGAGGUUUGAGUCAGCUCACUCUGGGUUAGGCGCUGCUUUUCACUCUCCUGGUUCCUCCUUUCCUCCCCUCCCCCACCAGCCAGUUGUUUCCUGGGCUUUGUCUGAGAUACGCUGCAGUUUAGCCCAGUCCACCACCGCCCGCGGUACCAGAGUCGAGAUGGAGGAGAAGCCUCCAGGAAGUUCCUGACAACACUAAGCUCAACACUAAGGCUGCCGCUGCCUCUGCUGAUAGUCCAGGACAGCAGUAACCUCAGGAGAAAGGCAUCCCGAGGCCGCUGGGCUGGGCUCCGCUAACUCUAGGGAGGAGAAAGGACAGGCCUGAAAAUGCCUCUCUUAGAUUCAUCUUAUUUGCCACCAACCAUCUUUAUUUUGACUCACAUUCUUGGAAUUGCUGGCGUUCUAUACUGGAAGAGAUGUGCCCAGGGCAAAACAGGUAACUAAUUGGUGCCAGUUC
This 689-nucleotide long non-coding RNA is filed under the name Marmota monax (woodchuck). The record is from RNAcentral. Lineage: Eukaryota; Metazoa; Chordata; Mammalia; Rodentia; Sciuridae.